ACCUGUAGUACAGAUAUUUUCCAAUUAGUAUCUUUGCAUGUUCUCCUCUGGAGUGAGUGGGGUUUAGCCUUGUCACACUGGGCUUUUAAGGGGAGCUCUAUCUUUGCAGCCCAGGCUACAUGUGACAAGAUUAAAUUGGCACACUUUACUGUAGAGCUCUGUGUUCCUGGCAGCGCUAGCCUGGCUGAUACCUCUGAGAGCAGGCUCAGCUGUCACUCAGUGACCCAUUAACACUACCGUUCCAUCCUGCAGUGUCAUUUUUCUCAUUCUUAUGGAGAUAACGCUCCCUGGAGAUAGGCAAUACCUGCAGGAAUGAAAGCGAACAGCGGAGACAGGCAAAGUAUCAAAGAGGGAGCAAACAACACAGCAAGACCAUGAAUUCCAAAAGUUGACUUUAAAAUUGAGUGAAAAGAUGACGCCCAUUAUGAUGUCUGGGUUUGGAAGGUGGGGAGAGGAUCAAGUUUUAAGAGAUAUGAUUUUCCAUCAACUUGUACAGUGUUUUUCAAUAAACCGAUAUGGUUAAAAUCCUAUGGACAAGGAAUAUGUCAAAGAAAGCAUCUGUGUGUCGAAGAGAAAAGAGAGAAAAAAGUGGCAUUGGUAACUGUUCCAGUUCCAGAAAUUACAUCCACAUUCCAGUUCCAGAAAUUACAUCCACAUUCCAGACUUCAGAGAAGUUAUGCUAUGAUCUUGCUUGCAUUUUUCUGGUUAAAUCUAACUUCAAAAAUGGGGAAAGAGGCAGAAGCAGCUGGGCUAGACAUGCCCGUGUCCUCUCUCAAAGUCAUCUCUUCUCCAAGAAAGGAACGAGGGAGUCAAGAUUGACCACACAGUUUGCUACUAUCACGUUCCCUCCACAAGGAAGAUGCAUCAGGAGUGUUUGCUCUCUGCAUUAUGCUUCCCCCUUACCAGAAAAAAAAUUAUGAUAAUAAAGGACAACUUCAAAGUUCCUUGGAAAUUUUGCUUCAAAUGGUUAUUGAUUUAAUUCCAAGGUUGAAUAAUUUUCU
Microcebus murinus (gray mouse lemur) is the source of this 1001-nucleotide non-coding RNA. Lineage: Eukaryota; Metazoa; Chordata; Mammalia; Primates; Cheirogaleidae. The record is from RefSeq and is a predicted model, not a curated record.